This 416-nucleotide ribosomal RNA is filed under the name uncultured bacterium. RNAcentral describes it as "bacterial SSU rRNA". It matches the Rfam family "Bacterial small subunit ribosomal RNA", at positions 506 to 920 of the family's 1533-position model. The record is from RNAcentral.
GGCCAGCAGCCGCGGUAAGACGGAGGGUGCUAGCGUUGUCCGGAAUUACUGGGCGUAAAGCGCUCGUAGGCGGUCGCAUACGGCGAUGGUGAAAGCUCCCGGCUCAACUGGGAGAGGCCCGUCGCAACGGUGUGACUCGAGGGUGGUAGAGGCAGAUGGAAUUCCUGGUGUAGCGGUGAAAUGCGUAGAGAUCAGGAGGAACACCCGUGGCGAAGGCGGUCUGCUGGGCCACACCUGACGCUGAGGAGCGAAAGCUAGGGGAGCGAACGGGAUUAGAUACCCCGGUAGUCCUAGCUGUAAACGAUGGAUACUAGGUGUCAGCGGUAUCGACCCCGCUGGUGCCGUAGCUAACGCGAUAAGUAUCCCGCCUGGGGAGUACGGCCGCAAGGUUGAAACUUAAAGGAAUUGGCGGGGGA